This 245-nucleotide long non-coding RNA is filed under the name Elaeis guineensis (African oil palm). RNAcentral describes it as "long non-coding RNA (EGUI_LNC058407)". Lineage: Eukaryota; Viridiplantae; Streptophyta; Magnoliopsida; Arecales; Arecaceae. The record is from RNAcentral.
GGAUUCUAUAUUGGAGAUUCUAUAUGGGAAAGCAAAUUAGAAGUAGAAUUUGAUAUCUUUAUUUUAUAUUAAGAUUUAUUAAAGUUAAUGAAAAACUAUGAAAUUUUAUAUAGUAAGAUAUUUGAUUUAGUUAUUUGAAUUAAAGUUGAACAUCAAUUAUUUAGAUUUUGUUCUACUGUUGUUUUAUCAUAUCAUGAUGAGAUGCCUUACAUACUUGUGAAAAGAGUUUUUAAUAAGUAUGCAGU